Molecule: ribosomal RNA, 929 nt
Filed under: Pseudomonas sp.
Lineage: Bacteria; Pseudomonadati; Pseudomonadota; Gammaproteobacteria; Pseudomonadales; Pseudomonadaceae
Description: bacterial SSU rRNA
Rfam family: Bacterial small subunit ribosomal RNA
Source: RNAcentral
UGCAGUCGAGCGGUUGACGGGAGCUUGCUCCCUGAUUCAGCGGCGGACGGGUGAGUAAUGCCUAGGAAUCUGCCUAUUAGUGGGGGACAACGUUUCGAAAGGAACGCUAAUACCGCAUACGUCCUACGGGAGAAAGCAGGGGACCUUCGGGCCUUGCGCUAAUAGAUGAGCCUAGGUCGGAUUAGCUAGUUGGUGAGGUAAUGGCUCACCAAGGCGACGAUCCGUAACUGGUCUGAGAGGAUGAUCAGUCACACUGGAACUGAGACACGGUCCAGACUCCUACGGGAGGCAGCAGUGGGGAAUAUUGGACAAUGGGCGAAAGCCUGAUCCAGCCAUGCCGCGUGUGUGAAGAAGGUCUUCGGAUUGUAAAGCACUUUAAGUUGGGAGGAAGGGUUGUAGAUUAAUACUCUGCAAUUUUGACGUUACCGACAGAAUAAGCACCGGCUAACUCUGUGCCAGCAGCCGCGGUAAUACAGAGGGUGCAAGCGUUAAUCGGAAUUACUGGGCGUAAAGCGCGCGUAGGUGGUUUGUUAAGUUGGAUGUGAAAGCCCCGGGCUCAACCUGGGAACUGCAUCCAAAACUGGCAAGCUAGAGUACGGUAGAGGGUGGUGGAAUUUCCUGUGUAGCGGUGAAAUGCGUAGAUAUAGGAAGGAACACCAGUGGCGAAGGCGACCACCUGGACUGAUACUGACACUGAGGUGCGAAAGCGUGGGGAGCAAACAGGAUUAGAUACCCUGGUAGUCCACGCCGUAAACGAUGUCAACUAGCCGUUGGAAUCCUUGAGAUUUUAGUGGCGCAGCUAACGCAUUAAGUUGACCGCCUGGGGAGUACGGCCGCAAGGUUAAACUCAAAUGAAUUGACGGGGGCCCGCACAAGCGGUGGAGCAUGUGGUUAAUUCGAAGCACGCGAAGACCUUACCUGGCCUUGAC